UUGAACGCUGGCGGCAGGCUUAACACAUGCAAGUCGAACGGUAGCAGGGAGAAAGCUUGCUUUCUUUGCUGACGAGUGGCGGACGGGUGAGUAAUGCUUGGGAAUCUGGCUUAUGGAGGGGGAUAACGACGGGAAACUGUCGCUAAUACCGCGUAGAGUCGAGAGACGAAAGACCGGGACCGCAAGGCCGGUUGCCAUAAGAUGAGCCCAAGUGGGAUUAGGUAGUUGGUGGGGUAAAGGCCUACCAAGCCUGCGAUCUCUAGCUGGUCUGAGAGGAUGGCCAGCCACACUGGAACUGAGACACGGUCCAGACUCCUACGGGAGGCAGCAGUGGGGAAUAUUGCGCAAUGGGGGCAACCCUGACGCAGCCAUGCCGCGUGAAUGAAGAAGGCCUUCGGGUUGUAAAGUUCUUUCGGUGAUGAGGAAGGCGGUUAGUUUAAUAGGCUAAUCGAUUGACGUUAAUCACAGAAGAAGCACCGGCUAACUCCGUGCCAGCCGCCGCGGUAAU
Molecule: ribosomal RNA, 508 nt
Filed under: [Pasteurella] aerogenes
Lineage: Bacteria; Pseudomonadati; Pseudomonadota; Gammaproteobacteria; Pasteurellales; Pasteurellaceae
Description: bacterial SSU rRNA
Rfam family: Bacterial small subunit ribosomal RNA
Source: RNAcentral